GUCUGCAACUCGACUGCAUGAAGCUGGAAUCGCUAGUAAUCGCGAAUCNGAAUGUCGCGGUGAAUACGUUCCCGGGCCUUGUACACACCGCCCGUCACACCAUGGGAGUUGGAAGCACCCGAAGUCGGUGACCUGACCGAAAGGGAGGAGCCGCCGAAGGUGAAGCCAGCGACUGGGGUGAAGUCGUAACAAGGUAUC
Molecule: ribosomal RNA, 198 nt
Filed under: uncultured bacterium
Lineage: Bacteria
Description: partial 16S ribosomal RNA
Rfam family: Bacterial small subunit ribosomal RNA
Source: RNAcentral